This 468-nucleotide ribosomal RNA is filed under the name uncultured bacterium. RNAcentral describes it as "partial 16S ribosomal RNA". It matches the Rfam family "Bacterial small subunit ribosomal RNA", at positions 28 to 507 of the family's 1533-position model. The record is from RNAcentral.
GACGAACGCUGGCGGCGUGCUUAACACAUGCAAGUCGAACGGAAAGGCCCUGCUUUUGUGGGGUGCUCGAGUGGCGAACGGGUGAGUAACACGUGAGUAACCUGCCCUUGACUUUGGGAUAACUUCAGGAAACUGGGGCUAAUACCGGAUAGGAGCUCCUGCUGCAUGGUGGGGGUUGGAAAGUUUCGGCGGUUGGGGCUGGACUCGCGGCUUAUCAGCUUGUUGGUGGGGUAGUGGCUUACCAAGGCUUUGACGAGUAGCCGGCCUGAGAGGGUGACCGGCCACAUUGGGACUGAGAUACGGCCCAGACUCCUACGGGAGGCAGCAGUGGGGAAUAUUGCACAAUGGGCGGAAGCCUGAUGCAGCAACGCCGCGUGCGGGAUGACGGCCUUCGGGUUGUAAACCGCUUUCGCCUGUGACGAAGCGUGAGUGACGGUAAUGGGUAAAGAAGCACCGGCUAACUACGUG